Long non-coding RNA from Lutra lutra (Eurasian river otter), 348 nucleotides. RefSeq lists it as uncharacterized. The record is from RefSeq and is a predicted model, not a curated record. NCBI's taxonomy places the organism in Eukaryota, Metazoa, Chordata, Mammalia, Carnivora, Mustelidae. The transcript is spliced from 2 exons.
UUGUUUUUUUUUUUUUUUUGUGAGUUCGUGGAUGAUUAUUCAUUUAGGGAUGAAUCCUGAGAGGGGAGGUAGGCCUCCUAGUGAUAGUAUGUUUGUUAGGAUUAGUGAGGUAAUUAGUGGGAGUUUGUUUCAUAUAUGAGAUAGUGAUAGUGUGGCUGUAGAUGAACUGAAUAUAAAUCAUAUUAUAGCUAGGGGUCCUGUGGGGAGGAUUAGUCAUAGGUGUUCUUGUGUAGUAAUAAGUGUGGAUAGGGUAAAAGAGCCAUUUAUUAGUAGUAAUGAUAGGAGGAUAAUGGCUAGUAUGACUUCGUAGGAAAUUGUUUGGGCUACAGAUCGAAGGGCCCCAAUUAG